Molecule: ribosomal RNA, 477 nt
Filed under: uncultured bacterium
Lineage: Bacteria
Description: bacterial SSU rRNA
Rfam family: Bacterial small subunit ribosomal RNA
Source: RNAcentral
ACGAACGCUGGCGGCGUGCUUAACACAUGCAAGUGGAGCGACGAACCGGGGCUUGCCCCGGGGCAGAGCCGCGAACGGGUGAGUAACACGUGGGUUACCUGCCCCAAUGACCGGGACAACCCGAGGAAACUCGGGCUAAUACCGGAUGUGGUCUUCGGACGAAAGGAAGCUUCGGCCUCCGCAUUGGGAUGGGCCCGCGGCGCAUUAGCUUGUUGGUGGGGUAACGGCCUACCAAGGCGACGAUGCGUAGCUGGUCUGAGAGGACGAUCAGCCACACUGGGACUGAGACACGGCCCAGACUCCUACGGGAGGCAGCAGUGGGGAAUCUUGCGCAAUGCGCGAAAGCGUGACGCAGCAACGCCGCGUGGGGGAAGAAGGCCUUCGGGUUGUAAACCUCUUUCAGUUGGGACGAAGCUUCGCGGGUUAAUAGCCUGCCGGAGUGACGGUACCUUCAGAAGAAGCCCCGGCUAACUACGU